RNAcentral lists this unclassified non-coding RNA (289 nucleotides) under uncultured fungus. Its description in RNAcentral is "partial contains 5.8S rRNA, ITS2 and 28S rRNA". It matches the Rfam family "Eukaryotic large subunit ribosomal RNA", at positions 668 to 961 of the family's 3401-position model. The record is from RNAcentral. Lineage: Eukaryota; Fungi.
AAGGAGUCUAACAUGCUUGCGAGUAUUUGGGUGUCAAACCCGGAUGCGUAAUGAAAGUGAUUGGAGGUGGGAAGCGCAAGCUGCACCAUCGACCGAUCUGGAUUUUCUAAGAUGGAUUUGAGUAAGAGCACGUAUGUUGGGACCCGAAAGAUGGUGAACUAUGCCUGAAUAGGGCGAAGCCAGAGGAAACUCUGGUGGAGGCUCGUAGCGGUUCUGACGUGCAAAUCGAUCGUCAAAUUUGGGUAUAGGGGCGAAAGACUAAUCGAACCAUCUAGUAGCUGGUUCCUGC